AACUCGCCUGUAUGAAGUCGGAAUUGCUAGUAAUCGUGGAUCAGCAUGCCACGGUGAAUACGUUCCCGGGCCUUGUACACACCGCCCGUCACACCAUGAGAGCCGGGAACACCCGAAGUCCGUAGUCUAACCUAUAUGGAGGACGCGGCCGAAGGUGGGUUUGGUAAUUGGGGUGAAGUCGUAACAAGGUAGC
This 193-nucleotide ribosomal RNA is filed under the name uncultured bacterium. RNAcentral's name for it is "partial 16S ribosomal RNA". It matches the Rfam family "Bacterial small subunit ribosomal RNA", at positions 1309 to 1500 of the family's 1533-position model. The record is from RNAcentral.